GCACCCUGGCAAAUGAUCAUUUUCACAAGGAUUAAAACUGUAAGCUAAAGAGACGACACAAAUGACAAUUGGGAAUACUUUUGAGCGGGGACAGAGGCUAAAUACUAGCCCCUCCCCUUUUCUACUUCUAACCAAUAUCUUGAGCAUUCAGUGGGACAAUACAGUCUUGCUGGGUCUCUUGAAAUCCUCCAGCAAGAAGCCAGCCAGGAGAAGACCCAGGCGUCCCACACCUGUGGGGCCAGGAUGGCUGCCUGGUGCUGAACCCAGACACGGUCCUCCCAGAGCAUCUGCCCCUGUCAGGCUCUGUCUGGAGACUGGGGAUCUUCCAGGCUGGCUUCAUUCUGGACCAGAGAGCAGAGGAGAAGGAGAAAGAAUAUAAACCCACCCCUGUGAGCCAGGGAACCACCCAAGCUGUAAGGAUUUUGUGCAAGCUGCUGGAAUUGGGUUGGAAAAGCGACCCGGCAAGCAGCUGAAAGGAAGGGUGUGCACGCCUGCUUCCUAAGGGGUGAUCCUUCGGGUGGGCUGAUAAUGCCUCCUCCCCUGAGGAGGGAGUCCUGCGAAAGCACGCACCUCAACACGAGUAAAGGCCCUAUGGUGUCCCCAAAGCGACCCCUGUCGCGUUCACUCUGCGGGUAGCCUCCCUGCAUUACUGAUUACUCCGAGCGGCUGAGCUGACGUCAGCAUUCUGGGAGCGCCAAUGACCUUUGGGGUCAUCACAUCCUCAGAAACUAGAGCAGGAGGGGAAGCGACCCCCAAGCCAGCGCUCCCCCUACUUUCCACCCAGGAGCCGAGGUUGCGCCAUCCUGGGGCGCAUCUGGGGACAGGGACCCACCAGCCCCCUCCCCUAACCCCUCUAGGGCCCUCGGCAGCAGGCGGUACCGGAUGCCCACCAGGGGCUCUAAAGGACCUGGGCAGCACGGGGAACCCUCGCCCAGAUCUUCCAGCCCUCUCCUUCUCCUUCUCCCAAUUCUUUCCGCAGUCUCAGAAGCCCCACGUUUCCCGCGGCGGGGGGACACGCACUUACCGCGGAUCCACUAUGCAAACCUUAAUGAACCUGAAAAAAGCCGGGCGGAGUGCGGUGGGGUGGGAUGGGGUGGGGUGCGGGGUGGGGUGGGGGUGGGGGUGGGGAUGGGGAGACCCUGCUCGCACCCAGCGCCGCGCACAGCUCUCUGGGCGGGUUCGAGUGCGCGCGGGGCGGGAGCAGGACCUGCGGCUGCGGUGUUUAGCGAAGCACGUGCUGCUCCGCGCGCAGCCCCCCGAGGCCGUGGGCUUCCUGGCUGCCCGGUCUGCGGCGGGGCGGCGGCGGGGGCGUGUUUCAAGGGGUCGAGCACACACUGAGACGCCGGGAGGCGGGAUGGGUCCGAAACCAGCUCGGAGCGAGUCUCGAGCGGCAGCGGCC
RNAcentral lists this long non-coding RNA (1399 nucleotides) under Macaca fascicularis (crab-eating macaque). RNAcentral describes it as "lncRNA (ENSMFAG00000051244.1)". Lineage: Eukaryota; Metazoa; Chordata; Mammalia; Primates; Cercopithecidae. The record is from RNAcentral.